AAAGACGUUCUUGCCUGUCACCUUAUAGAUGGAUCCGCGCUGCAUUAGCUAGUUGGUAAGGUAACGGCUUACCAAGGCAACGAUGCAUAGCCGACCUGAGAGGGUGAUCGGCCACACUGGAACUGAGACACGGUCCAGACUCCUACGGGAGGCAGCAGUAGGGAAUCUUCCGCAAUGGGCGAAAGCCUGACGGAGCAACGCCGCGUGAGUGAUGAAGGUCUUCGGAUCGUAAAACUCUGUUAUUAGGGAAGAACAUAUGUGUAAGUAACUGUGCACAUCUUGACGGUACCUAAUCAGAAAGCCACGGCUAACUACGUGCCAGCAGCCGCGGUAAUACGUAGGUGGCAAGCGUUAUCUGGAAUUAUUGGGCGUAAAGCGCGCGUAGGCGGUUUUUUAAGUCUGAUGUGAAAGCCCACGGCUCAACCGUGGAGGGUCAUUGGAAACUGGAAAACUUGAGUGCAGAAGAGGAAAGUGGAAUUCCAUGUGUAGCGGUGAAAUGCGCAGAGAUAUGGAGGAACACCAGUGGCGAAGGCGACUUUCUGGUCUGUAACUGACGCUGAUGUGCGAAAGCGUGGGGAUCAAACAGGAUUAGAUACCCUGGUAGUCCACGCCGUAAACGAUGAGUGCUAAGUGUUAGGGGGUUUCCGCCCCUUAGUGCUGCAGCUAACGCAUUAAGCACUCCGCCUGGGGAGU
RNAcentral lists this ribosomal RNA (693 nucleotides) under uncultured Staphylococcus sp. RNAcentral's name for it is "bacterial SSU rRNA". It matches the Rfam family "Bacterial small subunit ribosomal RNA", at positions 202 to 881 of the family's 1533-position model. The record is from RNAcentral. Lineage: Bacteria; Bacillati; Bacillota; Bacilli; Caryophanales; Staphylococcaceae.